RNAcentral lists this ribosomal RNA (501 nucleotides) under uncultured bacterium. Its description in RNAcentral is "partial 16S ribosomal RNA". It matches the Rfam family "Bacterial small subunit ribosomal RNA", at positions 30 to 523 of the family's 1533-position model. The record is from RNAcentral.
AUUGAACGCUGGCGGCAGGCUUAACACAUGCAAGUCGAGCGGGGUGAUGGUGCUUGCACUAUCACUUAGCGGCGGACGGGUGAGUAAUGCUUAGGAAUCUGCCUAUUAGUGGGGGACAACAUUCCGAAAGGAAUGCUAAUACCGCAUACGUCCUACGGGAGAAAGCAGGGGAUCUUCGGACCUUGCGCUAAUAGAUGAGCCUAAGUCGGAUUAGCUAGUUGGUGGGGUAAAGGCCUACCAAGGCGACGAUCUGUAGCGGGUCUGAGAGGAUGAUCCGCCACACUGGGACUGAGACACGGCCCAGACUCCUACGGGAGGCAGCAGUGGGGAAUAUUGGACAAUGGGGGAAACCCUGAUCCAGCCAUGCCGCGUGUGUGAAGAAGGCCUUAUGGUUGUAAAGCACUUUAAGCGAGGAGGAGGCUACUGAGACUAAUACUCUUGGAUAGUGGACGUUACUCGCAGAAUAAGCACCGGCUAACUCUGUGCCAGCAGCCGCCGCCG